AAUUAGAUAGGCCCCCAAUUUACUUUUUGUUUAUGGCCUCCAUAACUCUAGGGACGCCCCUGCAAACGUCUUUUCAGAGCGUUCGUUUAAUUGCUAGCGAAGUCCCCCGCCAUAAACAAGAGAUAAAAUCCUGAGAGAAGCAGAGAGGAAACCCGCCUAAACCAUUCAGUCAAGUCCUCAGACUGUGUUAAUCCAAAUCGAACCGGGUAUAGCUUUCACCAUGGUUUCUCUCUCUUUCCUCAGCCUCCCGUCGAUCUUCUUCUUCGUCAUGUUCUCCCAAACCGAUGAGCUUCUAACUUCUGAGAACCUCCUCUUAGCUCUGAUCUUCGUCGCGUCCUUCUCUUCAUCGCCUCGAGUGUGUACUUAUAUUUUAUUGAGCAUUUUUCUGCCUGGAUUGAUUUUGUAAGUAUCAUAAUCUAAUGAUUCCUGGUUUCUCUUUCCUACUACACUACACGUGAUGAUUUCGUUUACUUUUUGGUUUUGUUUAUACUUUUUUCCUAAUUGAAUAACAAGUACACAUUGUGUCGUGAUCCCACAAAGAAAGAUAUGGUGCCCAGAUGGUGAUAUAAUUGAAUGUGUUCCUUUCUCAAAGCAACCAGCUUUUGAUCAUCCUUUCCUCAAAUAUCACAAGAUUCAGCCUAAUUACGAUCCUAAAGAACUCUUUGAUGACAACAAAGUGUCGUCUUCUACUACGUCAAAAGAGAAGGGCAAUAUAUCCCUCAGUUAUAAAAUAGAUAUGGUAAAUGUACCGAAGGAACCAUUCCUAUGAGGAGGACAAGAAAGGUGAUGCCUUGAGAGCAAGUUCAGUCAAAAUAUAUGGCAAGAAGAAGCAUAGAACUGUCAUCUUACCUAAAUCUGCAGAACCUGGCCUCAUCAACCAAAGUGGUCACUAGGUGGUGAAAUACAUCAUUUAUGGUCCUGGAAAGAAGAAAUAUAGGUUCUGUAAGAAUUUGACAAAACAUCGUACCCUUGGCUUGCCAAGUGAAAUAAUGAGUAAAGGAAAGCACUUCAUCUUGAUACGCAAUCCCGUUCACAUAUUGCCUUCUUUUGACAAGGUAAUCCCGUUAUCAUUUCUCGACGUGUGAUUGGCAGACUUAGUCUCUGACAACUGAGAACACCAGCACCAGUCAUUGAUGCGGAUGACCUUCAGCGAAAUCCCGAGGUUUCAUUGCUUUAUUAUGAAAUAUUGUAACAAUAAACUCAAUUAGAUUAUGCAAGAAGAUGCUUAUUUUAUGUAGCAUUCAUCUAUUUCUAGGCUACGUUACGUGGUCUUAAGCAUCUUCUUGGAUUUGACCAUAAAUACUAAAUAGCAAAAUAAUAGUUCAUUGUUUGUGUAAUAAGAAUUUUUGUUCACUUAGGCUACGUUUUUUGACA
Molecule: long non-coding RNA, 1374 nt
Organism: Brassica napus (rape)
Lineage: Eukaryota; Viridiplantae; Streptophyta; Magnoliopsida; Brassicales; Brassicaceae
Exons: 5
Source: RefSeq, a predicted model, not a curated record